AACGAACGCUGGCGGCAGGCCUAACACAUGCCAGUCGAGCGAGGACUUCGGUUCUAGCGGCGGACGGGUGAGUAACGCGUGGGAAUGUGCCCUUCUCUACGGAAUAGCCCUGGGAAACUGGGAGUAAUACCGUAUACGCCCUAUUGGGGAAAGAUCUAUCGGAGAAGGAUCAGCCCGCGUUGGAUUAGGUAGUUGGUGGGGUAAUGGCCUACCAAGCCGACGAUCCAUAGCUGGUUUGAGAGGAUGAUCAGCCACACUGGGACUGAGACACGGCCCAGACUCCUACGGGAGGCAGCAGUGGGGAAUCUUAGACAAUGGGGGCAACCCUGAUCGAGCCAUGCCGCGUGAGUGAUGAAGGCCUUAGGGUUGUAAAGCUCUUUCAGCUGGGAAGAUAAUGACGGUACCAGCAGAAGAAGCCCCGGCUAACUCCGUG
This 433-nucleotide ribosomal RNA is filed under the name uncultured bacterium. Its description in RNAcentral is "partial 16S ribosomal RNA". It matches the Rfam family "Bacterial small subunit ribosomal RNA", at positions 29 to 507 of the family's 1533-position model. The record is from RNAcentral.